UACGUAGGGACCGAGCGUUGUCCGGAAUCAUUGGGCGUAAAGAGCGUGUAGGCGGCCUGUUAAGUCUUGCGUGAAAUCUCGGGGCUCAACCCCGAGCGGUCGUGAGAAACUGGCAGGCUAGAGUGCGGGAGAGGAGAGUGGAAUUCCUGGUGUAGCGGUGAAAUGCGCAGAUAUCAGGAAGAACACCCGUGGCGAAAGCGGCUCUCUGGAACGGUACUGACGCUGAGACGCGAAAGCGUGGGGAGCGAACAGG
Molecule: ribosomal RNA, 253 nt
Filed under: uncultured bacterium
Lineage: Bacteria
Description: partial 16S ribosomal RNA
Rfam family: Bacterial small subunit ribosomal RNA
Source: RNAcentral